GGGAGCAACGCCAAAUCAACCCAAUGUUCUUGCGAAGGUUGAAACAUUUCCCAAUAAAUUGCUAAUUGCAAGGAACAAGCUGCUGCAAUAGACGUCUCUUCCUUUGCUCCUGCUGAGGAGUACCCGCCGAUUGUAUGUGCCUGUGAUUCUAUUAAUUAAGGGAUUAGGCUCGAUCUGCUCUGACUACAUGAUUCUAAGACAUUACUCCAGGUGCCAUCUAAGGAUUU
Molecule: long non-coding RNA, 227 nt
Organism: Lolium rigidum
Lineage: Eukaryota; Viridiplantae; Streptophyta; Magnoliopsida; Poales; Poaceae
Exons: 3
Source: RefSeq, a predicted model, not a curated record